Molecule: long non-coding RNA, 2384 nt
Filed under: Ananas comosus (pineapple)
Lineage: Eukaryota; Viridiplantae; Streptophyta; Magnoliopsida; Poales; Bromeliaceae
Description: long non-coding RNA (ACOM_LNC018483)
Source: RNAcentral
CCCAAAUUUUAGUUGAUUUUAUUUACAACUCAAAUUUUCUACAUUUUUACAAUCAAUUCUCAAAGUUCAAUUUAAGUUAACCGAAGGAUAAUAUGUUGCUGAUGUAGCAAUAACAUGGCAUUAUUAUUGUUGAUAAAAUAAAAGUGACUAAGAUAUCGCAUUAUUAUCUAUCAGAUUAGCGACGCACUAGUAUCUAAUCAACUAAAUUGGACCAUAAAAUUUGUUUAUAACAAUUCAGAAAAUUCUAGCAAAAAAUUACAACGAAACAGGUCGAAAAUGUAAUUUAAUCUUUUAUAUAUAACUAGUAUUUAACCCGUGCUAUGCACGGAUAAUAUAAUAAUAUAAAAUAACAUAAGUUAUUAUAUGAUGAUAAAAAAAUUUAUUCUAAUUAAUAUUAUAUUUUUUUAAAUAAUAAAGAAAUAUACUAUUGAUCUUAAUUAUAGUACAUAUUAAAAUACAAAAGCUAGAGAAAAAAAAUUAUAGACCAAAGUAAAUACUCAAAUAAAAAGUAAAUUUCAAUCAUGCUCUAUUAUUUAUGGAUACUAAUAGCUUUUUGUUGCUAUAAGUUUUACAGAAAAAAUACUAAAUGACCAAAAUACAAAUUAAAAGGAACAUUAUACUAUAAAUGCUACUUAUAAAAUAAUUCUUUUUAUAUUAUAUAUGUGCCUACUAAUUUUUGUUUAUAUUAUAUCAGAUAGAUAAUUUUUAUAUUUAUAUUUGAGGGCAAUUUAGAUAAAAAAAACGGAAUUAUUAUAUUUGAGGGCAAUUUAGAUAAUGUGCCUACAUUAUCUGCCAAUACGAAAUUUGAGUUUGCAACAGCUUAUUUUCACCGCGAAAAAAUAAGUCGCAACAGAUUAUUGCAUAUUUCGCAACCAAUAAUUUUAAAUAAUUAAUUAAACCAAUAAUUUUAAAUAAUUCGUAACCAAAUAUUCAUAUUUGAGUUUGACACGUGGCAAGCAUAUAGAAACCCACGUGUCAGCUUCUCACAUAGGGUUUAAUAAGGGUUCUACUUUUUUUUAAAUAAUAAAGAAAUAUACUAUUGAUCUUAAUUAUAGUACAUAUUAAAGUACAAAAGCUAGAGAAAAAAAUUAUAGACCAAAGUAAAUACUCAAAUAAAAAGUAAAUUUCAACCCUGCUCUAUUAUCUAUGGAUACUAAUAGCUUUUUGUUGCUAUAAGUUUUACAGAAAAAAAUACUAAAUGACAAAAAUACAAAUUAAAAGGAACAUUAUACUAUAAAUGCUACUUAUAAAAUAAUUCUUUUUAUAUUAUAUAUGUGCCUACUAAUUUUUGUUUAUAUUAUAUCAGAUAGAUAAUUUUUAUAUUUUUAUUUGAGGGCAAUUUAGAUAAAAAAUCCGGAAUUUUGUUAUUUGAGGGCAACUUUUUAUCUAAUUUUUGUUUAUAUUAUAUCAGAUAGAUAAUUUUUAUAUUUAUAUUUGAGGGCAAUUUAGAUAAAAAAAACGGAAUUAUUAUAUUUGAGGGCAAUUUAGAUAAUGUGCCUACAUUAUCUGCCAAUACGAAAUUUGAGUUUGCAACAGCUUAUUUUCACCGCGAAAAAAUAAGUCGCAACAGAUUAUUGCAUAUUUCGCAACCAAUAAUUUUAAAUAAUUAAUUAAACCAAUAAUUUUAAANUAUUCGUCAGUCAAUUAGAUUUAUUGACUAAGAAUUAAUAUAUUUUAUAAUAAUUUAAAUAAAAUAUCCAAUAUUUUAAAUUUGAGAUAACUUUUAUAUAUUCUGCUUAUAAAAAAUAUGAUUAAAUAUUACAUAUGUUAAUAUAUUUUAUAAUGUUUUAAAUAAAAUAUCCAAAAUUUUAAAUAUUAGUAGGUAAAUUUGAUAUAACUUUAAUAUAUUUUGUUUUAAAAAAAUAUGAUUUAAUAUUAUAUAUGCGGAAGAUAUUAUAUUAAUAGGGACCGGUAUUUUGGGAAAGAGGAAAAAAUUCAAAACUAACGUUUUUAUAAGUAGUAUAGAUGAGCAACUAAAAAUAAGAUAUCCAAUAAAAAAAUUAAUACAUCAUAUUUAAAUAAUAAAAUAAAAAAUAUAUGUUCUAUUUUAAAGCAUAACCAAAAUAUCUUAUUUUAAAUAAUAAUUUUAAAUAAUUAUUAUCUGCCAAUACGAAAUUUGAGAAUUUGACUUUGCAACAGAUUAUUUCCACCGCGAAAAAAUAAUUCGCAACAGAUUAUUGCGUAUUUCGCAACCAAUAAUUUUAAAUAAUUAAUUAAACUAAUAAUUUCAAAUAAUUCGUAACCAAAUAUCCAUAUUUGAGUUUGACACGUGGCAAGCAUAUAGAAAGCCACGUGUCAACUUCUCACAUAGGGUUCAUUAAGGGUUCUACUUUUAUAUAUAGUAAUAGAUAAGACAUAAUUUGGUGACAAAAUUAAAUUAUGUG